UACAGAGGUCCCAAGCGUUGUUCGGAUUUACUGGGCGUAAAGGGUGCGUAGGUGGCCAUUCAAGUCUGAUGUGAAAUCUCGAAGCCUAACUUCGAAACUGCAUUGGAAACUGCAUGGCUAGAGGAGUGUAGGGGAGACUAGAAUUCUCGGUGUAGCAGUGAAAUGCGUGGAUAUCGAGAGGAACACCAGUGGCGAAGGCGAGUCUCUAGGCAAUUCCUGACACUGAGGCACGAAAGCCAAGGGAGCAAACGGG
Molecule: ribosomal RNA, 253 nt
Filed under: uncultured bacterium
Lineage: Bacteria
Description: partial 16S ribosomal RNA
Rfam family: Bacterial small subunit ribosomal RNA
Source: RNAcentral